AAUCAACGCUGGCGGCGUGCCUAACACAUGCAAGUCGAACGCGAAAGCCCCUUCGGGGGUAAGUAGAGUGGCGUCCGGGUGAGCAACACGUAGGUAAUCUGCCUUCGGGUGGGGAAUAACCAGUCGAAAGAUUGGCUAAUACCGCAUAAUGCAGCGGCACCUAAUGGUGAUUAGUUGUUAAAGCGGGGGAUCGUAAGACCUCGCGCCUGAAGAGGAGCCUGCGGCAGAUUAGCAGUUGGUGAGGUAAUGGCUCACCAAGGCUUCGAUCUGUAGCUGGUCUGAGAGGACGGCCAGCCACACUGGCACUGACACACGGGCCAGACUCCUACGGGAGGCAGCAGUGGGAAUUUUGGGCAAUGGGCGAAAGCCUGACCCAGCAACGCCGCGUGAGGGAGGAAAUCCUUCGGGAUGUAAACCUCACAAGCAAGGGAAGAGAGCUCAAGGCCGAAUAAGCUUUGAGUCCGACGGUACCUUGCGUAAGCCACGGCUAAC
Molecule: ribosomal RNA, 492 nt
Filed under: uncultured bacterium
Lineage: Bacteria
Description: bacterial SSU rRNA
Rfam family: Bacterial small subunit ribosomal RNA
Source: RNAcentral